Molecule: ribosomal RNA, 1269 nt
Filed under: Klebsiella oxytoca
Lineage: Bacteria; Pseudomonadati; Pseudomonadota; Gammaproteobacteria; Enterobacterales; Enterobacteriaceae
Description: bacterial LSU rRNA
Rfam family: Bacterial large subunit ribosomal RNA
Source: RNAcentral
ACCAAGGCGCUUGAGAGAACUCGGGUGAAGGAACUAGGCAAAAUGGUGCCGUAACUUCGGGAGAAGGCACGCUGGUGUGUAGGUGAAGUCCCUGCGGAUGGAGCUGAGACCAGUCGAAGAUACCAGCUGGCUGCAACUGUUUAUUAAAAACACAGCACUGUGCAAACACGAAAGUGGACGUAUACGGUGUGACGCCUGCCCGGUGCCGGAAGGUUAAUUGAUGGGGUUAUCCGUAAGGAGAAGCUCUUGAUCGAAGCCCCGGUAAACGGCGGCCGUAACUAUAACGGUCCUAAGGUAGCGAAAUUCCUUGUCGGGUAAGUUCCGACCUGCACGAAUGGCGUAAUGAUGGCCAGGCUGUCUCCACCCGAGACUCAGUGAAAUUGAACUCGCUGUGAAGAUGCAGUGUACCCGCGGCAAGACGGAAAGACCCCGUGAACCUUUACUAUAGCUUGACACUGAACAUUGAGCCUUGAUGUGUAGGAUAGGUGGGAGGCUUUGAAGCGUGGACGCCAGUCUGCGUGGAGCCAACCUUGAAAUACCACCCUUUAAUGUUUGAUGUUCUAACGUUGGCCCCUGACCGGGGUUGCGGACAGUGUCUGGUGGGUAGUUUGACUGGGGCGGUCUCCUCCCAAAGCGUAACGGAGGAGCACGAAGGUUAGCUAAUCCUGGUCGGACAUCAGGAGGUUAGUGCAAUGGCAUAAGCUAGCUUGACUGCGAGCGUGACGGCGCGAGCAGGUGCGAAAGCAGGUCAUAGUGAUCCGGUGGUUCUGAAUGGAAGGGCCAUCGCUCAACGGAUAAAAGGUACUCCGGGGAUAACAGGCUGAUACCGCCCAAGAGUUCAUAUCGACGGCGGUGUUUGGCACCUCGAUGUCGGCUCAUCACAUCCUGGGGCUGAAGUAGGUCCCAAGGGUAUGGCUGUUCGCCAUUUAAAGUGGUACGCGAGCUGGGUUUAGAACGUCGUGAGACAGUUCGGUCCCUAUCUGCCGUGGGCGCUGGAGAAUUGAGGGGGGCUGCUCCUAGUACGAGAGGACCGGAGUGGACGCAUCACUGGUGUUCGGGUUGUCAUGCCAAUGGCACUGCCCGGUAGCUAAAUGCGGAAGAGAUAAGUGCUGAAAGCAUCUAAGCACGAAACUUGCCCCGAGAUGAGUUCUCCCUGAGACUUUAAGUCUCCUGAAGGAACGUUGAAGACGACGACGUUGAUAGGCCGGGUGUGUAAGCGCAGCGAUGCGUUGAGCUAACCGGUACUAAUGAACCGUGAGGCUUAACCUU